Non-coding RNA from Erinaceus europaeus (western European hedgehog), 105 nucleotides. The record is from Rfam. Lineage: Eukaryota; Metazoa; Chordata; Mammalia; Eulipotyphla; Erinaceidae.
CUUCUUUUUGGGGAUUGCCAAGAUUAGGUUCCUGCCAUACAGAGAAGAUUAGCAUGGCCCCUGAGCAAGGAUGACAUGCAAAUUUGUGAAGUGCUCCAAAUAUGU